RNAcentral lists this transfer RNA (74 nucleotides) under Mycobacterium koreense. RNAcentral's name for it is "Mycolicibacillus koreensis tRNA-Arg". It matches the Rfam family "tRNA". From Rfam's summary of the family: Transfer RNA (tRNA) molecules are approximately 80 nucleotides in length. The record is from RNAcentral. Lineage: Bacteria; Bacillati; Actinomycetota; Actinomycetes; Mycobacteriales; Mycobacteriaceae.
GCCCGCCUAGCUCAACGGAUCAGAGCAGCGAUGUCCUACGUCGACGGUUGGGGGUUCGAUUCCCCCGGCGGGCA